This 497-nucleotide ribosomal RNA is filed under the name uncultured bacterium. Its description in RNAcentral is "partial 16S ribosomal RNA". It matches the Rfam family "Bacterial small subunit ribosomal RNA", at positions 28 to 507 of the family's 1533-position model. The record is from RNAcentral.
GACGAACGCUGGCGGUGUGCCUAAUACAUGCCAGUUGAGCGAUGAAGCUUGGUGCUUGCACCAAUUUGAAGAGCAGCGAACGGGUGAGUAACGCGUGGGGAAUCUGCCUUUGAGCGGGGGACAACAUUUGGAAACGAAUGCUAAUACCGCAUAACAACUUUAAACAUAAGUUUUAAGUUUGAAAGAUGCAAUUGCAUCACUCAAAGAUGAUCCCGCGUUGUAUUAGCUAGUUGGUGAGGUAAAGGCUCACCAAGGCGAUGAUACAUAGCCGACCUGAGAGGGUGAUCGGCCACAUUGGGACUGAGACACGGCCCAAACUCCUACGGGAGGCAGCAGUAGGGAAUCUUCGGCAAUGGACGAAAGUCUGACCGAGCAACGCCGCGUGAGUGAAGAAGGUUUUCGGAUCGUAAAACUCUGUUGGUAGAGAAGAACGUUGGUGAGAGUGGAAAGCUCAUCAAGUGACGGUAACUACCCAGAAAGGGACGGCUAACUACGUG